Molecule: ribosomal RNA, 253 nt
Filed under: uncultured bacterium
Lineage: Bacteria
Description: partial 16S ribosomal RNA
Rfam family: Bacterial small subunit ribosomal RNA
Source: RNAcentral
UACAGAGGUCCCAAGCGUUGUUCGGAUUCAUUGGGCGUAAAGGGUGCGUAGGCGGUGCCGUAAGUCAGGUGUGAAAUCUCGGGGCUUAACCCCGAAACUGCAUUUGAUACUGCGGUGCUCGAGGACUGGAGAGGAGACUGGAAUUCAUGGUGUAGCAGUGAAAUGCGUAGAUAUCAUGAGGAAGGCCAGUGGCGAAGGCGGGUCUCUGGACAGUUCCUGACGCUGAGGCACGAAGGCCAGGGGAGCAAACGGG